This 319-nucleotide ribosomal RNA is filed under the name uncultured eukaryote. RNAcentral's name for it is "partial 18S ribosomal RNA". It matches the Rfam family "Eukaryotic small subunit ribosomal RNA", at positions 1470 to 1796 of the family's 1831-position model. The record is from RNAcentral.
CCCUUAGAUGUUCUGGGCAGCACGCGCGCUACAAUGGUCUUCGCAAACGGAUGCAUUCUCGAAGGAGAAUGCCAAUCUUGGAAUCUAUGCCUUGGUCGGGACAGUUGCUUGCAAUUUUUCGACUCGAACCAGGAAUUCCUUGUAAUCGUGAUUCAUCACAUCACGAUGAAUACGUCCCUGCCCUUUGUACACACCGCCCGUCGCUCCUACCGAUCGAAGAGUUAGGUGAAUUGUUUUGAACGAUAAGAUUUGACUAUGGUCAACUCUCGUUGUGAAAUUCUGUGAAUCUGACUGUUUAGAGGAAGGAAAAGUCGUAACA